Molecule: long non-coding RNA, 1301 nt
Organism: Tympanuchus pallidicinctus (lesser prairie-chicken)
Lineage: Eukaryota; Metazoa; Chordata; Aves; Galliformes; Phasianidae
Exons: 3
Source: RefSeq, a predicted model, not a curated record
GUGACCUACAGAGGGCCAAAGGAUAGGAGCUCCUUUACCUUGAUGCUAGAGAAGGGGCAAAUGUUCUGUACAGCUUAUUCCUGUAACUGUGGCAGCUGUGGGUGCCAAUGGACCUCAAUGAAUUGCAUCGAAACAGCAAAUCUUUAACUGCAGAGGACACAGGACUGUAGCUGGAGUGUGAAUUUUCUUUUUAUCCAGAUGUUCCUCCCUAGCUACAUCCAGACUAUUUUCACAGUUUUUCUUUGCCAGUCCACACUUGACCAGAUUCAGCUUAUCUUUCCAGAUGUUCGUCAUCUAAAAUACAGACUUAUGGUGCAUUCUUAUGAUGAUUCAGGUUCUAUUGGAAACCACAAAAGAUAAAAAAAGAUAGCACAAGUAUUGAAACUCUUUAUCACAUAUCUUUCUUUCCAAAGGGGGUGAUUUUGAUAGGAAAUUUGGAGAAGAAAAAAAAAAAGCUGUUUAAGAAUAAGUUGUGCUGUGCCAUAGUCAAAGCCAAAGGGACCUAGUUAGAGAAGAAACAGGAGCCAAUUAGAGUGAGUUAAUUGACAAGAAGCAACAGUUCCCUUACAGAAGAUAGGCUGGAGAAGUGCAAAGUGGAAACAGCAACUUCUGUCUCUCAGUUGCUAUUAAAGUAAUACCGUAAUAAGAACGUUAUCUUGCACUCCAUACAUACAUUCAUUGUAAUGUCUGCAGAUGCUUUUCAAAUGCAAUUGAGUCUAGCCUUGAGUAAAAAGGCUGUAUGAUUGUCUGUUCCUGCUUAGUAGAUUACUAAAGACACCCCUGCUUUAGAAUUAUGUGGCAAGAUUUUUCUAGCAGGAGGUCUGAAGUGUUGGGUCCCUGUGAACAGAGCCCAGCAGCUGCCUCAUGUCAGAUCAGAGCCAGCCCCAGCUGCUCCAAAAGGGACCUGCUGUUGCCAGAGCUGAGCCAUGAGACUGGCUGUGACUCUGGAAGGGCAGACUUAAGGAAGGGAAGCACUGCUGUGCAACAGCAGCUGGGAGAGAGGAGUGAGAAAUGUGAGAGAAACAGCUCUGCAGCCACCAACCAAGGUCAGUGCAAAAGGAGGGCAGAAGCUGCUCCAGAUGUGGAGCUGAAGUUCCCCUGCAGCCCAGGAGGGGCCUGUGGUGGAACAGCUGUCCCCCUUCAGCCCUUGGGCACAAUACAGAGCCUAUCUCCACACGUAUUCUUGGAGAAGCCCACAGGGCAACAGUGGAUGUGGCCUGGAGGAGGCUGCAGUGGGGCAGCAGGGCUGGGAGUGCUGCUGCCUGCAGAGACCCAUGCUGAAGCAGUCUUCUGAAGGAUGG